Long non-coding RNA from Triticum dicoccoides, 336 nucleotides. RefSeq lists it as uncharacterized. The record is from RefSeq and is a predicted model, not a curated record. Lineage: Eukaryota; Viridiplantae; Streptophyta; Magnoliopsida; Poales; Poaceae. The transcript is spliced from 3 exons.
CUGCAUCGACCCAUCACAUCGAUCAUCCCGCCUCAUCCCACCAGCGUACUCGCCGGCGUAGCUUUCCCCACAGUGUAAUAGUAAUUGCAAGGAGAGAGACACAACUGGAUACAGGGACACAAGUGGGAGCACAAGUACAGUGUACUUGCAGCAUUGGCUGAACCAAUGACCAAGCAAAAAAAAAAGAAAAACAGGGGAGAAAGAAAGGAGUCUCGGAACUAAACAGGUUCAGCCAUGCCAAAAACACAAAUCCAAGAGAUCUGCUUCAUCAGCACGGAUCCGAGAUCUAGAAGAAAGAAUUGAACAAAAGGAUAGAGAGGGAUGCAAAUGACAAGU